Long non-coding RNA from Podarcis raffonei (Aeolian wall lizard), 947 nucleotides. RefSeq lists it as uncharacterized. Lineage: Eukaryota; Metazoa; Chordata; Lepidosauria; Squamata; Lacertidae. The transcript has 3 exons. The record is from RefSeq and is a predicted model, not a curated record.
GCCAAAUACUCACUCAGUGGGAUUAGGCAACUGACUUUUCUCUCUGCCUCAGUUCCCCCUUACUGCAAGCUGGGCAUGACAAUACCAAUGUUGUAAACAGGGGCAGCUUCAGGUCUGAGGGGCUCCCUGGCAAAAUGCCCUCUGCUAGGCCUCCGCCCUUGAGCUUGCUUGCCAACAGCUGCGAGUUGCCAUUUUUAAACUUCCCACAAUGCCCCUGAAGUCAUGUUGGUCUGGGGAAUUCUGGGAAAUUACAAUGGCAGCCGCAGUGAGGCCACCAAGGGCAGCUAUUUAAAUUUACCCAGAGUGGCGCAGUAUGUCAAGGACCUAUUGCGACCAGGUUUCCGAUGUGGUAAGGAACCGGAUCCAAGAACUGAGUGAUGUUUGUCCCCACAAAACGGACACAACUAUCCUGUUAAGGCGCAAGAGAAAAAAGUCAAGCCCAGCAGCUUCGUCCUGAUGUAUAGUGAGCCCACAAGCCAUGCCACCACACCUUAGGAACUGGGGCCAAAUUACACGUGAAGUUGCUGCACUUAAAUGAGGCUACUUCUGUUUUGAAGACAAAACAGCUGCAGGCCCCUGCUCUGGAUCAGGGCCCUGUGGCAGUUUCCUGCUGAAAAUCACCCUCUUCCUCAGCUGUUCUUUACUCCCACUGGUGCUGCUGACUGCAGGCAUUAACUCUGGAGCCAAAUAGGUUUAAAAAGUUUGAAUUAGGUAGGUUUUAAAGAAAAUUCAAGCAAGACUGGAUUUCUCCAUCAACCUUAGGGGCCCAUGGCUGCGUUUCAGUUUGUAUUUUGCUUUGGAAGUUAGGAGAGGCAGCGCACAUUUUCGUCUCCACGCAAAAAUUCGCUCCUGAAUUAAAAUAAUUGCAACUGAUCAGCCCUUUCAAGUAACAUAACAACACCAUGGUAGGUAACAUAUGUCUAGUUGUUUCCUUAGUUAACAGGUUG